AUAACAGGUCUGUGAUGCCCUUUAGAUGCUCUGGGCUGCACGCGUGCUACAAUGUUAGGAUCAAUAGGAUUUUUUACUUAGCGAAUCUGAAAGGACGAGCUACUCCUAUAAUCCCUAACGUAGUUGGGAUUGACGUUUGUAAUCAGCGUCAUGAACCAGGAAUCCCUUGUAAAUGUGUGUCAACAUCGCACGUUGAAUACGUCCCUGCCCUUUGUACACACCGCCCGUCG
RNAcentral lists this ribosomal RNA (230 nucleotides) under uncultured eukaryote. RNAcentral's name for it is "partial small subunit ribosomal RNA". It matches the Rfam family "Eukaryotic small subunit ribosomal RNA", at positions 1453 to 1678 of the family's 1831-position model. The record is from RNAcentral.